Molecule: ribosomal RNA, 119 nt
Filed under: Cicer arietinum (chickpea)
Lineage: Eukaryota; Viridiplantae; Streptophyta; Magnoliopsida; Fabales; Fabaceae
Source: RNAcentral
AUGUGCGAUCAUACAAGCACUAAUGCAUCGGAUCCCAUUAGAACUGUGCAGUUAAGCUUGCUUGGCUGAAAGUAGUUCAAGGAUGGGUGACCUCUUGGGAAGUGCUCGUGUUGCACCUU